GCGACUCUCUGGUCUGUAACUGACGCUGAGGAGCGAAAGCGUGGGGAGCGAACAGGAUUAGAUACCCUGGUAGUCCACGCCGUAAACGAUGAGUGCUAAGUGUUAGGGGGUUUCCGCCCCUUAGUGCUGCAGCUAACGCAUUAAGCACUCCGCCUGGGGAGUACGGUCGCAAGACUGAAACUCAAAGGAAUUGACGGGGGCCCGCACAAGCGGUGGAGCAUGUGGUUUAAUUCGAAGCAACGCGAAGAACCUUACCAGGUCUUGACAUCCUCUGACAACCCUAGAGAUAGGGCUUUCCCUUCGGGGACAGAGUGACAGGUGGUGCAUGGUUGUCGUCAGCUCGUGUCGUGAGAUGUUGGGUUAAGUCCCGCAACGAGCGCAACCCUUGAUCUUAGUUGCCAGCAUUCAGUUGGGCACUCUAAGGUGACUGCCGGUGACAAACCGGAGGAAGGUGGGGAUGACGUCAAAUCAUCAUGCCCCUUAUGACCUGGGCUACACACGUGCUACAAUGGACAGAACAAAGGGCUGCAAGACCG
This 536-nucleotide ribosomal RNA is filed under the name Bacillus sp. (in: firmicutes). Its description in RNAcentral is "bacterial SSU rRNA". It matches the Rfam family "Bacterial small subunit ribosomal RNA", at positions 721 to 1257 of the family's 1533-position model. Lineage: Bacteria; Bacillati; Bacillota; Bacilli; Caryophanales; Bacillaceae. The record is from RNAcentral.